RNAcentral lists this ribosomal RNA (491 nucleotides) under uncultured bacterium. RNAcentral's name for it is "partial 16S ribosomal RNA". It matches the Rfam family "Bacterial small subunit ribosomal RNA", at positions 28 to 507 of the family's 1533-position model. The record is from RNAcentral.
GAUGAACGCUGGCUACAGGCUUAACACAUGCAAGUCGAGGGGAAACGACGGGGAAGCUUGCUUCCCCGGGCGUCGACCGGCGCACGGGUGAGUAACGCGUAUCCAACCUGCCUCUGACUGAGGGAUAACCCGUCGAAAGUCGGCCUAAUACCUCAUGGCAUCGUCUGCGGGCAUCCAACGACGAUUAAAGAUUUCAUCGGUCAGAGAUGGGGAUGCGUCUGAUUAGCUUGUUGGCGGGGUAACGGCCCACCAAGGCGACGAUCAGUAGGGGUUCUGAGAGGAAGGUCCCUCACAUUGGAACGGAGACACGGUCCAAACUCCUACGGGAGGCAGCAGUAAGGAAUAUUGGUCAAUGGGCGAGAGCCUGAACCAGCCAAGUAGCGUGCAGGAUGACGGCCCUAUGGAUUGUAAACUGCUUUUAUGCGGGGAUAAAGUGAGGGACGUGUCCUUCAUUGCAGGUACCGCAUGAAUAAGGACCGGCUAAUUCCGUG